AACAAAUCCUAGGUGCCUCCCAAGACCUACUAAAUCAAAAUCUUGGUGGUCAAGAGAUAGUGAUUAGUGGCUGGGCACGGUGGCUUACGCCUGUAAUCCCAGCACUUUGGGAGGCUGAGGUGGGCGGAUCACGAGGUCAGGAGAUCGAGACCAUCCUCGCUAACACGGUAAAACCCCGUCUCUACUAAAAAUACAAAAACAAAAUUAGCGGGGCAUGGUUGGGGUUGCCUGUAGUCCCAGCUACUCUGGAAGCUAAGCCAGGAGAAUGGCGUGAACCCGGAAGGCGGAGCUUGCAGUGAGCCGAGAUCAUGCCACUGCACUCCAGCCUAGGCGACAGAGCGAGACUCCGUCUCAGAAAAAAAAAAAGAGAGAGAUAAUGAUUAGGAAUGAGGAUAAUCAGGAUUUUUUUCACAAAGCUCUCCUGGUGAUUCUAAUGAUCAUCAGUAAUCUCGUAGACAGUAACAUAGCUUAUUAAUAAUAUAAAUCACUUUUUGACUAAAAUAGUAUAGAUAGAAACGUGUAUUUUUGUAGACAUAGAAGCACCCAGAAGAAAAGGGCUUUCUGAUUACAUGACAUAUAUCAAAUGAUGGGAUGAGCUGUUGACCAUAACUCGGCCACAAAGAUUAAAAACAGCAUUUAUGACCUUUGUAGGUCAGUGUCUCUACCAUAUAUGUAGGAUGGAAUUGGCAGAGGGAAUUCUUCCAUAAGUUGGGUAAAUUAUAUUUUUAACUCUGGCAUUUGUUCUUAUGGUGAGAGUUCAUUUUUUAGCUUCUUUAGAUAAAGCUGGCCCCACUGAUUUGGCCCUAAGAUUAAUAUCUGCUGUAAAGUAUAGGCAGUCUCUACUGUAGAUUCUGUGCAGCCAUGCACAUAUCAGAAAGUGGUGGCCACAGGACAUACACCUGACUGUAGCUGUGGCUACACUAUGGUCAUCCUCUGGACAUCAGUGGUGAGUCCAAAGCUAGUUGUGAGGAGGGAAAGACUAUGAAUGAGUAAUAGAAUGUAGGAACUAAUAGUACUUGUGAACUCAGUAGACCCAGACUAUAGGAUUUCCAUAUUGCUUUGACCACCUUUGGUUAUAAUGAUGGAAUCAGAGGUCUUUUAAUUAUGAUGGUAGUUCCUUUGGUUUUAUUAUAAGUGACUUUUUUCUUUCUCAACUGAUUUGGUCCAUAUUCUUAUUUCUUAAACUGAAGUAGACGUAUAGAUCCACAUUAUAUGUUUCAUAAGAGUUAAAUUAUCCUUACGUCCUGAAAAUAGCUGUCUAGUGUCUAGCCCAGGGUCAAAUGCAAUGAAAGAAAGCCAACCAGUUUUUUGCUGUUGUUUUGUUUUUGUUUUUGCAGUGGUACAAUUCCACAGUCCUGCCUCUCAUAUAUUUAACACCUUUAGCCCACAUAAUUCAAGAAGCACAUUAUUAAGGUGUUGUCUGGCUCUGUGACCCACUAGUAUGCAUCAGUGAAGCCAGUGCUAGGUUUGGAUCUGGGUGUUUAUGAGAAAUGUGUUGAUGAGAAAUUAAGUUUUCCCUUGAUACAGCAGGAGGAUUUGAAAUGCGUUAUCACAGUGUUCUCAAGGUAGAUGCAGCAACAGUUGUAGUAAUGGUAGAAUUAGAAAAUUUAAUUUGGGAAUAUUUUUUAAGAUUUCAGCCAGGCACGAUGGCUCACGCCUGUAAUCCCAGCUACUCGGGAGGCUGAGGUAGGAGAAUGGUGUGAACCUGGGAGGUGGAGCUUGCAGUGAGCAGAGAUCACGCCACUGCACUCCAGCCUGGGCGACAGAGCAAGACUCCAUCUUAAAAAAAAAAAAAAGAUUUCAGAUAUUUUCCCAGUUGCCCAACAGUUUCUUUUUAUUCAUCAAGUUUUUUCCCAGAUAACAACGUAAGUGGUAUAUGUGCUCCAUGAAUAAUUGAUGAAACAGCAGUACACUGACUGGCUGUUCCAAAACUUAUAUGACCAAAGGCAGAGUCCAUCCUCUACAUCCAAAAAAGCAAGGUGCUUUUUUUCUUCCUACUGCUUUCUUAUGUUAUUAGUGUCAGACUUGCCCUUACGUCUACCUGUGGUUGGUUUUUUUUUUUUUCCUAUAUUUAGUUGAUGUCAUUUUAGAAAUACAUCCCUGGAGCCUUCAUCUCCACAGAGAUCUGUUGCAGGUAUCUUGAAGGGAGAGAAAAUUACUUACUUGUAUUUCUUGUUCUCUGCAGAUAUACAAACCCAGUAGAUCAUCACUUGCCUGCCCUCUGUCCUCCCUGAGUUGAGGAUAAUUGGCUUGUUAUUAUUAGAUACUAUUAUAGUUAUUAUUUUCGUUUCAAAAAGACUUGAAGGCCUACAGUUCAGGGCCCCAGAAGGAAAGGCACAUUCAGACAGAUGCAUACCUCCUGCUGGUAGGCAAAGUCAAUAGCUGAGAAACUUAAGCCUUUAAUAUCUGAACUGUUUUUUACUGAGACAUAAGAACAUAUUGAGUAAUGAAAAUUACAUUCACAAACUAUCAGAGAAGCAGAAUUAGAAUAUUUUUUAAUGUUUUUGGCAUUACAGAUGCCAAAAAUUUGUAAAUUUGUAAAUGCCAUUAUAAAUUUGGCAGUCACAUACACAGGCCCUUCAUGUUCUGAAAUCAGAUGCUUAAUCUAAUUUCUAAAAUUUUUUGUAUAUAUUUACAUGCAUGGAAAUAUAGAAAUGAACUUGCCGAGAAUCAUAAUAGCAGUUGAUACAGCGCUACAAAGAGGUUCUGCUCUGAAUGGGGGCUCUCUCCUUGCCUAACCUGGCUGUCAGUGACUAAUUGUGGUUCCCUGGGAGGCAGAAAAAAAAAAUCACUGCCUUUCUUGGGCAGAAUUGGAGAAGUUAUAUGGGCCAUUUCUCAGCUUGUGUGUUUUGGAUAACAGAAGAGAGCAUUCUUCAGGGCCACCCUGAAGGUCAUUCAGAUAUCCCAUUUUUAAAGAGUGGAAUGUAUAGCUUUGAUAUUUGGCGUGAAAGUAGGCACAGGGUGCCUAGUUUGCCUACAACUGGACAAUAUAUGAAUCUUCCAAAAAGUAAUACUCUUUUUUGAAUCAACUGUAAGCACUUUUCAAAGAGUGAGUUCACAUAAGGAUCACAGGCGUGAUGUUCUCACCUGAAGGGUGUGAUACAUCUUCAAACACUCAGAAGAGGCAGGUUGGCUAUCGCAUGUUAGGGCAUAUAUUUCAAUUUCCACGCCAUGAGUUAUAAAGAUAAAUACACAAAGAUAUUUCUUGUCCAUUAUAAAAUAAUUAACGUUUACAACUCUGAUCUUAAAAAGAGUUGAAUUCAUGGUAACUUAGCAACAAUUCAGUGGAGUCAAUUUUACAACAUUUCUUACGGAAGUCUGAAUCGGACAAUAGGAUUCCAAUUAAACUGUUAAUUGUGUCAUUUAAUACUUGGCAUGUAAAGCGGAGGCCUGACACAGAGAGAAUAAAGUAGACAUAGCGUUAAUGAUACAAUUCAACUGAUUCUUUUCUAAACAUAUGACAAUAAUUUCAUGACAUACAUGUCAGUAUUUUUUAAAUAACUAGGUAUUAUAAUUGAGGAUCAAUAAAUUUUUUUUUAAACUUCCAACAGAAUUUAGUAUUACGUGUGCAUUUUAUGCUGAAAUCAGGUGAUUGCCUAACCAUCCAAAAGUUUCCAAAACACUCAGAAUGAAAUCCAAAGGCCUUAUCAUGGCCUACUAGACCCUACACAGUCCAGCCACUAGAGUCAUCCAGACCCUAUCAGGUAUUCUUCUCUUUGCUCACUGCCUUCCUACCACAUUAGCCUCCUGGCUACUCUUUGAAAACAGCAAGCAGUUCUGUCUCAAGCUCUUUCAUUUGCUCUCCUUUCUGCCAGGAAGACUCUUCACCUGUGUUCGUUUCCUCACUUCAAUCCAGUUUCUGCUCAGAUAUCACCUCCUCAGAAAGAAUUUUCUAGAUACCCCAACUUAAAAUGCCUGCCCUCAUCACUCUCCAAUCUCUGGCCCUGAUUUAUAGGAUCUCUUACUCCCUAACUUUAUAUUUUUUUAUCUACUUGUGUAUUUACCAACUGUCUCACCUAACAGAACGUGAACUUUUUUGAAACCAAAUUUUGUCUGUCUUGUCUGAACCAAGACCCUGCCGCAGAGUAGGAACACAAUAAAUAUCUGCUAAAUAAAUGUGAAUUUUAUUGGAAAAAGUUGAAUUUGCAUUUCUAAAAUGAUAUCAGAAACUACUUGUUAUGAACAUUCUCCUUAGUUGUUCACAUGAUUUCAGGGUUAUUAUAUUUUAACAGAAGGCCGAGGUGGGCGGAUCACCUGAGGUCGGGAGUUCGACACCAGUCUGACCAACAUGGAGAAACCCCGUCUCUACUAAAAAUACAAAAUUAGCCAGGCGUGGUGGCGCAUGUUUGUAAUCCCAGCUACUCGGGAGGCUGAGGCAGGAGAAUCGCUUGAACCCGGGAGGCAGAGGUUGCGGUGAGCUGAGAUUAUGCCAUUGCACUCCAGCCUGGGCAACAAGAGCGAGACUCCAUCUCAAAAACAAAAAAAAGAGAAAGAGAAAUAGAAAGGCCUAAAAUUUGAACUUAGAAAUAUAUAAAGAAAGACUCAUUCUGUAUCUGUGAUAUUUAUUCCUGAAAAGAUUUAUUAACAUUCACCUGACUCAGUAUUGUUUUUCUGUAUUAUUAUAUAAUGAAUGACAUCUUUUAAAAUAAAUAUUUUUAUUAUGCAGUUAAUAUAUGCUCACAUUAGAAAAUGUGGUAAAUACAGGCCAGGCAUGGUGGCUUGCACCUGUAAUCCCAGCUAUUUGGGGGAGGCUGAGGCAGGAGGAUCAGUUGAGUCCAGGAGUUCGAGACCAGCCUGGGCAACAUAGUGAGACCCCAUCUCUAACAAAAUAAAAUAAUUAGCUGAGCAUGGUAGCAAGUGCCUAUGGGAGGUGAGGAGCGUAAGAUCACUGGAACCCAGGAGUUCAAUGCUGCAGUGAACUAUAAUGGCAUCACCACACCCCAGCCUGGACAAUACAGCAAGACCCCUGUCUCUAAAAAAAAAAAAUAAUUAAUUUUUUAAAAAGAUAAUCUAGGAAAUACAAAAACUUCUACCCGGAAAUUACCACUGGUUAAAUGUUUCUUUUUGGGUUAAAUAAAAUUGGGAUCCAGUUGUUUACCAUAGGCUAUUUAACUAUAUUUUUCUCUUAACAUUUUUUAUUUGCAAUUAUAUCUUAAGCAUUUCUUGCCAUUAAAUAUCUUCAGAAACAUAAUGUUUAACGUCCUCAUACUAUUUCAUUAUGUUUAUGCCUCAUACAUUAUUUAAACAUUCCCUUAUUCUUGAACAUUAAGAUGGGUUUUGGUGUUUUGAUAGAGUUUUUAAAAAUGCUGUUAUGAUUAUCUUCAUAUACGAUUGUACGUAUAUCUUUGGAUAAGUUCAAGUAAAAGGAUAUAAACAUUUAAAGUAACUAAUACUAGUUUAAUGAAGUGUGUGAUCUCAAUGCUAAUAAAGUAUUAGAUAUUCCAAUUCACUUGGGGGUAGGAAUUUUUUGAUGUAUGGAGUGUUUUUAUGUAAAUGAGCUCAUGUAUCUUGCUUCAACUUAACGAUUAUAUUAUAA
This 5536-nucleotide long non-coding RNA is filed under the name Homo sapiens (human). Its description in RNAcentral is "HSALNT0146092". Lineage: Eukaryota; Metazoa; Chordata; Mammalia; Primates; Hominidae. The record is from RNAcentral.